This is a long non-coding RNA of Brassica napus (rape), 4629 nucleotides long. RefSeq lists it as uncharacterized. Lineage: Eukaryota; Viridiplantae; Streptophyta; Magnoliopsida; Brassicales; Brassicaceae. The transcript has 3 exons. The record is from RefSeq and is a predicted model, not a curated record.
AAAGUAAAUUUAUAUUUUAUUGCUAGUUUUUAGUUUAAAAAAGUGUAAGUUAAUUUUUGUUUGUCGUAAAAUUAACCCUUAGAGUUUUUGUUUUAAUGUGAUGCGGUGAUCAGUUUCUCUUUUCUAAACAACAGUAAGUUUGAAUAAUAUUUAUUGUCUUGAGCAAUCAAUUUCCGAAGGAGAAAAUAAUAUUUGAGUGUGUCUUUUUAAUGUAGCGAACGGUAAUGUAAAUUUAAAAUCAGUUGACUAGUGUCGUUUGCUGUCUUGUUGUUCGAUCCCAUGUGGAGUUAUGCCAUCAUGCUUAGGUUAGCAGUUUAUUCUUCUUUUGGAAGCAUUGUAUGAUAUCAAUGUCGUUGUCAAAGUAAAAGCGCGAUUCGGGUGUGGUUGUGAGUGCUAGUUUCCCUGUAAUAGUAAAAUAUUUGUAAGCAUUUAUACGGACAUAAACCUUAUGUUUAGUUUAUUACCUUCAUAUAACCUUGGAAUGAUACUUGUGAUGAUUAUGAUUUGGUUUUUCCUGGUAGAUAUGCGAUUUAACUCUCUGAAAUUAGUCGCCUCUUUGUCUCAUAUAGUCAGACGUACCAAUUUGGAUCUACAAAAAAUUAUUGUAUUAUAUAUUUAUGGUUAAAAACAAAUAUUAUUUAAUAAAAUGUUAGUACAUGUGUAAAAGCAAUCCAAUGAUGAUCUUUGUAUUUGUGUUCUGGUUAUAUAUAUAUCACUUCCUUGGAUGAAGCAUCUUCGGCCAACAACAUCUGGGGAAAUAAUUUGUUUUUAGUGAGAAAAAAGAGAAUUUAAUGGUUUGUGAGACUAGUAAUCGUUUUUUUUACCUGGGAGGAAGUUGGUUGCAAUUGCUAAGAUGAUCAACUGGGGGUAGCGUUGGGGCCGGAAUAUGUAUGAAGGUAUUGGUGGAAUGUUUUUUUCAAUCAGUGUAAUAAUUGUUGUUUCAUUGAUAUUGAUUAUGUAUGGUUGAACGGUAAGCAUGUACCGUUGGUUAUUGGGAAGAAGAUUAAAAUAUCUAAUGUGAUAAAUUUUCCCUUCCUUCUUUCCAUUUUUUGUUCACGUUGAGUGGUUAAAAUCAAUCAUUUCAAAUGUAGUGGAAAUAAUAAAAACAUAGUAUUUUUUAGACAAAUCUGGAUGUCAAGACAAAUGAAAGUUGUUCCUAUGAAAGCAUUUUUGUUUUUGUGAUUUGUGAUGGGCCACAUCCUAAUGAUCCUAACGAUUAUUGGUUGUGGUCUAAGGUUGUCGCUUUGGUUGUUGUGAUCUUCGGCUGCAUGUUCUGCAUAAGAAUGAGAAUUAUUUUAUAUUGCCUAUGUUUUAUAAUUUUUAUUUCUAUGAAGUGAACAUAGAUAUAGUUUGUAGUUUUUAAUUUUUUGGAAAAUUUUAAAAAUAAAGUAUGCCUGGCAAUAAGUAUUUGAAUUAGGACCAACCAUGAGUAUUUGGAACUGUUAAUUAUUAAAUUAAUUGGGUGGGUUUGAUAGGAGAUUUUAUUUUUGUGAUGUUUUUGAAUAUACAUAAAAUCUUAAAAAAUAAUUAGUAUAUAGAAUUAUAAAUCUAUUUCGGAUACAUUCGGGUACCCGAAAUAUUUCGGUUGUUCGGAUCCGGGUUUGAUUUGGUUGUUCGGAUCCGGAUUUUUUCCCAGCCCUAUUUUUAUAUACUCAUAGUCCCUAUUUCAUAUGUAUAAUUUAAAUAAGACCCAAACCACCCAUGAUUAUUGACUCAGACUAUUAAUUGCAUGUCUGAUUAAUUAUUGAGUUAUCAACUUUGUUACUCAUAGCUACCCCUGGACCCACGUCUUACCUUUAAUGCUUUAGUGUAUGAAUUAUCUAUCUAUAUGUACAAUACUAAAAGUUAAAUAUAAGCCAUGGAGAGGGUGUCCACGUCAGCUCAAAUAAUCAACCAAUUAGAAAACAGCUAUGUUAAUGAAUAAUUCCACGUCACCCGAAGCACUUCUCUUUCGCGUUCUCACCAUCUUACCGACGACCAAAGAAACCGACCUAAUUUGUCGUUACAGUUCAAUCGUAAAUUCUACAUUCAAUUAUUUUUUAACAAAUAAGAAACUCUUCAAAUUCAUCAUGCAUUCCACAUCACUAUAUUAAUCGAUGGCGAGUUCUAGAUUCGAAGAUUCUAAUUACGCGAAGAAGCUGUUUCGUCUCUCCUCUUUGUUCUACGGCGCAAUGAGACGCCUGAGCUUUUUCCUGAUCAGAGUCGACAAUGAUUCAAGGUUCUGAUCUGAUCUGUUGCUACUAAUUGCUUUCUCCAGUAAACUAAUCUUAUAUGUUGUCAGUUGAAUCAUUUUUUCUUCUCAUGAUUCUUAGUUUUUUUAAAAAGACUUCGAUGUCCAUUUGUUUUUACUAAAAACUUCGAUGUCCAUUAAAAUACUUUUGUUUAUAAUUUUGCUUCUGCGCUUUUUUGGUUUUCUAUGAACUGACCAAUUUGUUUUGAUUUGUUUUUUUUUUUGUGUAGAGCUUUUGUAAACUGGGAAAACACUGAAAUAUUUCGAUAAAAAGAGUUGACCUUCCACCCCAAAAGACCAUGGAGUCUUUCCAAAUUACACAGAGGUGGCAUCCAGCUCUUCGAUUAUAGAAUGGGCGCUUUGAUCGAUACAGUUGACAAUCACGAAGGCUCUGUUUGUUCUCAUUCCAUAGCCUUUCUUCUUCUGAAGAGGUAAGAUAGGAAAUCUAUGUACAUGAUAAAAACUGCACACUACAGAAGUUUACUGGAUUUUUUCAUUACCCAUACGAAAUCUAUGUACAUGAAUAGUCUUCUAGAUUGAGAUACAUAAGCAACUCACAUAUACAUUUUAGUUUUGUUCAUGAUGUCUGUUAUGUUCUUGAUAAACAUUUACACAGAUGAUAAUGCUGGUGAAAAAUGUAGAUUAGUACCUAUUUAAAAUCUCAGAAUAGUUUAAGCAAACACAUAUAAAUAUAAUUUUGAUGAUUGUACACAGAGUUGCUUGCAUCUCUUUGUUUUCUUUUGCUUCUUUUGUUUUUCUGUUUCUCUAUAUUCUAUUUUUGUGGUCAACCCUCUAUAUUCUGUGUAAUUAUAAGUUUUAAAUCUCAGAGAAACCAUAUUGUCUGCAUCCAAGAGUUUUAUUGCAGAUUAUGUAUAUCCUAUUUAAUUUAAAGCUUGGUGAUGCAUACUUUUCUUUACGAUAUCCCUUGAUUUCCAAAUCGGGCCUUUAGAUAAGAUAAUUAUUGGUAUUUAUUUUACACCACACAGUGAUCUGUAGAAAGUAAUGAAGAGGAAGGUGGUGCUUACAAUCCACUGAAGCUGCCAAUGGGUUAGGACGGGAAGCCAAUACCAUACUGGCUCUACAAGCUUCAUGGACUUGGCCAGAAGUUUGAAUGCGAGAUACGUGGAAACAGUGUCUACAUGGGUAGAAGGGCUUUUGAGAAACAUUUCAAAAAGAGUUUCACCACCAAAUGGAGGCCAGAACUUGAAGAAGACUUACUCUGAUCUCCAACGUCAAGGUUGCGUUCCACCUUUUUCCAUCGAACGGAGCCGUUGCAAGACCUUGACAAAGAGUGGCACAUCUCAUUAACUCAACUUCGUAAUUGAUAGAUGUGGGACCUGAAAACCUUAAGGAGGUAAUGACCAUACUUCAUGUUUAUAUGAUCCCUGAAGCAUUUUUCCUCUAAUUAUUUGUCUUCUGUGUCAUUCAGGCGCUGGGGGCACUGGGGCUGAAAGUUGGUGGUACUUUGCAGCAACGUGCCUAGAGACUUUUCCUUACAAAGGUUCGUACACUUCCAUUUUGAUUUCAAAUUUCUUUAUAUAAAUAGAUUAGAGCAACAUGAUGAUUUUUCAUGUUUACUUUUCUGAGGUUUUAAGACCAAGAGCCUAAAGUGCUCCAAUUUUUCUUUCAGGACUACAACUGUUCGUCUCAGUGCUUUCGAUGUUCAGGCCAGCCAACUUCACCAGAACUUAUUUAGGGUCGCCUAUUCAUGAUGAUUCAAGUUUAUAUAUUUUGGAACUUGCAAAUAAAGAGAUGUUGACUUGACCAACCGCUGGUUUGGGCGAGUCUGGAGCUAGCUGCUCCACAAGUUCUACUAAAUAUGGUGGUGUAAAGAAAAUUGCGUCUGUUACGGUGUCCUACCUAAAUGCAUACGCUCUCAAUGCUUCUAGCAGUGUGACAUAUUGUAAUGCGUGUUGACAUAACGGAAAUAACCACCCCAGUGGUAAUUCUAUGCCUGGCGCAGUGGCGCUAUAUGUGUGUCCUGUAUCUGCUCAAAUGGUCAGAAGUUAAAAGAAACUGACAUAGCUAUAGGCAGUGGUGAAAUCCCUGUGAACCCAACGCCUCUGCUGAAUGAAACCACAACAGCUGCUCAAACAACUAUGAUGAAAGCUUAGCUGCAUAAGUUACCCAUAUAUAGUUUCCUGCAUUUUCUGAAACUUCAUUUGCAUUGUCUUUUUCAAAACAUCGUUUGGUCUCAAUUUCAUGUUUCCAACUUAUUUAUCAAUAAAAGCAUAUUUCAAUAUUGGACCGGAUACACAUCAAUUUCUUAUAGUUCAUUGAUGUGAAUAGAUCACUAACCAUUUGUUUUCUUUUUAUCUGACGAAGUACUUAUUUACUGUGUAGGUCAGAAUUACCUUUGACAAUUUUUACGAAAAUUUGAAUGAAAAUUAUUUUUAACA